RNAcentral lists this long non-coding RNA (552 nucleotides) under Parus major (Great Tit). RNAcentral describes it as "lncRNA (ENSPMJG00000013129.1)". Lineage: Eukaryota; Metazoa; Chordata; Aves; Passeriformes; Paridae. The record is from RNAcentral.
GGGACAGCCCCAGGAACAGCAGCCCAGUGUCAGACACAGCCCGGAGCUGCUAUUGCUGCUACUGCAUCAAAUGAGUGGAAAGUCACUAGUCGAGCAUCAUCUGUUAUCACUGCAACCUGGGUCUUCCAGGGCCUUUGGAUGAACUGUGCUGGCAACGCACUGGGGGCUUUUCACUGCAGACCUCACCUUACUAUCUUCAAAGUAGAAGGUGAGACAGAAACAUUCCUUUGUUUGCUGUCUUUUGAGGAAGAGGAUCUGGUUGCUCAUUUUUUAGGCGGUGCUUUGUUCUGCACAAUGCAGAGCACUGUGCAAGCUCCUCACUUACCAUUGUGUUAAUCUCUAAUGUCUGUGCCAGUUUGGGGUGCCCUCCCCAGAUCUAGCAGUGCCAACAGACCUGGCCUUGCCCAGGUGAUGACAUUCUUAUGAGCCUGUCUAUGUUCCCCACAUGUCUGCCUUACUUGUUCCAUAUUCAGAUUCUCAGGGAAACCCUAGCAAACAAGGAAGCUGUCCUUCAGCCUAAGAAAAAUAAACUUGGGGCUUUUUUCUUUUGCA